Molecule: ribosomal RNA, 692 nt
Filed under: uncultured Escherichia sp.
Lineage: Bacteria; Pseudomonadati; Pseudomonadota; Gammaproteobacteria; Enterobacterales; Enterobacteriaceae
Description: bacterial SSU rRNA
Rfam family: Bacterial small subunit ribosomal RNA
Source: RNAcentral
CGGUAACAGGAAGAAGCUUGCUUCUUUGCUGACGAGUGGCGGACGGGUGAGUAAUGUCUGGGAAACUGCCUGAUGGAGGGGGAUAACUACUGGAAACGGUAGCUAAUACCGCAUAACGUCGCAAGACCAAAGAGGGGGACCUUCGGGCCUCUUGCCAUCGGAUGUGCCCAGAUGGGAUUAGCUAGUAGGUGGGGUAACGGCUCACCUAGGCGACGAUCCCUAGCUGGUCUGAGAGGAUGACCAGCCACACUGGAACUGAGACACGGUCCAGACUCCUACGGGAGGCAGCAGUGGGGAAUAUUGCACAAUGGGCGCAAGCCUGAUGCAGCCAUGCCGCGUGUAUGAAGAAGGCCUUCGGGUUGUAAAGUACUUUCAGCGGGGAGGAAGGGAGUAAAGUUAAUACCUUUGCUCAUUGACGUUACCCGCAGAAGAAGCACCGGCUAACUCCGUGCCAGCAGCCGCGGUGAUACGGAGGGUGCAAGCGUUAAUCGGAAUUACUGGGCGUAAAGCGCACGCAGGCGGUUUGUUAAGUCAGAUGUGAAAUCCCCGGGCUCAACCUGGGAACUGCAUCUGAUACUGGCAAGCUUGAGUCUCGUAGAGGGGGGUAGAAUUCCAGGUGUAGCGGUGAAAUGCGUAGAGAUCUGGAGGAAUACCGGUGGCGAAGGCGGCCCCCUGGACGAAGACUGACGCUC